This 3363-nucleotide long non-coding RNA is filed under the name Pan troglodytes (chimpanzee). RNAcentral's name for it is "long non-coding RNA NONPTRT006360". Lineage: Eukaryota; Metazoa; Chordata; Mammalia; Primates; Hominidae. The record is from RNAcentral.
GUGAAGGGAUAAAGAAACUUCCAUCCAUACAAUGGAAUACUACUCAGCAAGAAAAAGGAACGAACCAUUGAUAAACAAAGCAAUGUGGAUGCAUUCUGCAGACAGCAUGUUGAGGGAAGGAAGCCAGACUCAAAAGACUGUGAUCUCCUGAGGGGGACUGUCAUAGCCCAGCCCCAGCCCAGAGCCUGUCACAUAGGAUGACAUCAGGAAAUGUCUGCUAUGGAAUGAAGGCAGGGUGGCUCUAUUUCCUCUACAUGCCUCCGGAAUCCAAGGAUAUCAGCAGAAUGUCAUCAGACUGGGAUCAAUUUUUAUGGUAAUUCCCAGGGAUGAAGGUUUCUGGGCUGCAUGAAGGUUUCUAGGCUGCAGGUAACAAAAAUUCAAACUCCAAUCUGUACAAAGGGCAGGCUUAAGCUUUCUAUUUCUCAAGGAAGACUUCCUCUCCGCCCACUCAAAGCUCAGGCAGAGAUGAACAUGUUUUCUUAUUCCUCUGUGUUGGGAAUAAGAAGGGUAUGUGUCUUUGUCCAUCUUUUGCCUAAGGAGGUAGUCUUUCCAGGGUGCUGGCUUUAUACAGGGUUUUCAGUUCUAAACUCCCACUUUGCUUAGGAUCAAGGCCUUAUUUCCUGACUUGAGAGUGCAUGAAAAUCCAGGCUGUAGGUUCCUGAGACAAUACCUCUUGGACCAUUCCCACUCAUACUUUGUAGCUUAUGUGAUCACUGCCCUGUUUUCCAUUUCUGGCGCCUGUGUGUUUUCAUUUCUUUUUUGCCAGCUCAUUCAUUCAGUUAAAGCAAUACUGGUUACAUUUCCCCUGGUAUUUUUAGGUAAGCACAGCAGGAAGACGUUCAGGGUUCAUUGGUUUUUCAUCUUGCUGGAACUAAAAAUGUCUUCUCAGGCUCCUUGUUUAGGAACUUGUCCUCUGCCUGUCCUUUUACCUUGUCCUCUGCUUGUCCCUUUCUGAGAGUCCUUAUUUGGCCCUCCUGUCCUUUCUCCCUGUAUCGGAGGUCCUCAUCUGCUUCACCAAGACCUCUGGAUCCCUGGACCCUAAUAGCUUUUAACAAGAAGGCAGGAUGAAAUGUACUCGUAAAGCUAAGUUUGAAGCUUUUUUCUGCUACUUACCAGCUGAGUGACCUGGGGGCAAGUUACUUGGCCAUUCUAGGCCAAUUUCCUCAUGUGUAACGUGAGUGAAACAGUGAACAAGAGGGCUCUGGAGGCAGGCUGUGAAUGUGCAAUGAACAAAGGGACUUGGGAAUUGGGGUCUUCAUUGACUGGCAAGGGGUUAGGUGGGUGUGCCCUGUGGUUAAACAGGUGAUGGGCAGGGAUUCAAUUCCAUGAGUCCUCAGGCACGGUGUGAAGCAAUUUACAUUUAAUCCUCAGGAUUGAAUGUCAGUUCUGCAAGGAAUGUGACUGUCUCAUGUUACAGAUGAGGAAACAGGCUGGGAAUGGUUUAGUAACUUGCCCAGUUCUGUCUCUUUCCACUAGACGACUGCUUUGGGCUGAACAUCCUUCUGAUCCAAACAUCCUUUAUAGGGAUAUUCAUUGGAGACCUAACGCUGCUUUAGAAGUGAUUUUUUAAAAAAAUUCCCAUUUUGUUUUAUUUUAUUGACUUAUGGGAGAGUAAUUUUCUUCUUUGAAUUUUGGGAAUGGGGUCCUUCUGGGGUGAUCUCCUGUCAAGUGUGAGCUGGCACAGGAGUUCGGAGGAACAGCUGGUUGCUACACCUCCCCUUCCCCUAAAGAGAACAAAGGCUCAGGCCCUCUUUGACCACCAGGUAAGUAAGAGUUCCCCACUCUCACUCCAACACACAGAUAGGCUUUUUGGAGCAUUUUCUGCCUAGCUACCCCUCUUGCACCCAGCUGCCUCUGCCUGGGCCCCACUGAUGUUCUGAGUCCCUGACCCAGGCACAGAUGUGGGAGGUGAGGUGUGUCUCUCUGUUUGGUGACUUUCCAGGUGCCAAGACACACCUGAUCAGCAUUCUGGACGUAGGCACUCCCCAUCACCCCUUACUUACAGAAUGGGCCACAGGAUGAAGGGUAUGUAUCUAUGAAUGGCAAAGCUGUACAGUAAGAUGAAGAAGCUGAAGAUGGAUAUCUCCAUGGUGAUGAUAAGCCUCAAGAUGGGGUGCACGGCCAGGCCUACUAGAGUGCCUGGUGUCCAACGAGCGGCUCAGAGGGCGCGCUCAGCUAACUGCCAGGACCACCGAAUGCCAACUCCCGCGCCCUCUCCACGCGCGCCCGUCUCCUCGCGCAGCUCCCAUCCGCCAGGCAGCGGCCGGAUCCGCCCACCCUCCACGCGCCGGCCCCCGACGGGCCCCAACUCCGUUUCCAACCCGCCGGUCCCACCUCCGCGCGGAGCUGCCCUCGCGGUCCCAUCCCGGCGUCUCCAGGUGGCCCCAGGCUUUUUCUGGUAAGGACCGCUGGGAUUGAACAGAAGCUUCCGGUAAAUAAGGGCCCCGUCGGCAAGACAGCAUACUGCUGUCACAAGUGCAAACACCUGGAAAGAAAGACACGUGUCACUGCCCUAACCAUGGUCCCCACUCCUGUCAUUCACACAAGUUUUAAGUGGUCUGCCCACCAGAUUCCUCUCUUGCUAGGGUACUCGGAUUGCUCCCUGUGCUUCAUCUAAUACUAAUAUGGAGAGACUUCAGAGAUCAUCUUAUUCUCCUCAUUGCUAAGUUUUCUAAAUACUUGCCUAUAGAAAGAGAAAAGAUAAUUUAAGUGAGCAGAAAAAUAAUAAAGCAGUGUGGGCUCUGAAAUCCAUACUUGUUUGCUUUUAUCUCUUGACCUUCUCUUGCAUGUAUUCUUUUAAGCCCUACUAAGGAUAUUUAGUUAUUAAUAUUUCUAACCCCAGUGUUCAACUCUGACUUCUCUACUGACAAACUCACAGAAGAAAAGGUCAAAGUUAACACCAGCUCAAUAUUAAAUCAUGGGGACUGUAGCUCCAGAAAACUGGAGUUAAUAAGAUGAUCCAAAGUGAACUCUCAAAGGCUAGGCUACAUCUGCUUAAGGGGUGAGAUUCUAAAUAGACCUUAAGAAAGUAAAAUUAGAUAAAAACAAUAACUAAGAACACGUGGGGGCCUUCAGACACUCUGAUGGCUAUCUGAGAGCUGGUGCCUGGGGUGGGAGAGGGGGAUGUCAUUCCUUGCAUGCUGUUUGGUCAGCUUCUUCCAGUCAUCAGGAAGUUUGGCUUCCUGGCUCCAGACAUGGCUCUCACAGUCUCCUUUUCCACCCAGAGUCUCAAGCCACUGCCUCCUAGGUUCUGACCACACUGAAUACCUCCUACCAAUCUUUUCAUGACUGGCACUCUGUACACUAUUGGCUCCUCUACCUGGAACCUUUUCCCUUUUUUCUCCUUUAUUCUCAGCAAACAGC